CUUCGGGAGGGCGCUUACCACUUUGUGAUUCAUGACUGGGGUGAAGUCGUAACAAGGUAACCGUAGGGGAACCUGCGGUUGGAACACCUCCUUA
This 94-nucleotide ribosomal RNA is filed under the name Escherichia coli. RNAcentral describes it as "partial 16S ribosomal RNA". It matches the Rfam family "Bacterial small subunit ribosomal RNA", at positions 1440 to 1533 of the family's 1533-position model. Lineage: Bacteria; Pseudomonadati; Pseudomonadota; Gammaproteobacteria; Enterobacterales; Enterobacteriaceae. The record is from RNAcentral.